GGUUAAGCGACUAAGCGUACACGGUGGAUGCCCUGGCAGUCAGAGGCGAUGAAGGACGUGCUAAUCUGCGAAAAGCGCCGGCGAGGUGAUAUGAACCUUUGACCCGGCGAUGUCCGAAUGGGGAAACCCAGUGUGAUUCGUCACACUAUCGUUAACUGAAUACAUAGGUUAACGAGGCGAACCGGGGGAACUGAAACAUCUAAGUACCYCGAGGAAAAGAAAUCAACCGAGAUUCCCCCAGUAGCGGCGAGCGAACGGGGAGCAGCCCAGAGUCUGAAUCAGYUUGUGUGUUAGUGGAAGCGUCUGGAAAGUCGCACGGUACAGGGUGACAGUCCCGUACACGAAARCACACAGGUUGUGAACUCGAAGAGUAGGGCGGGACACGUGGUAUCCUGUCUGAAUAUGGGGGGACCAUCCUCCAAGGCUAAAUACUCCUGACUGACCGAUAGUGAACCAGUACCGUGAGGGAAAGGCGAAAAGAAC
RNAcentral lists this ribosomal RNA (483 nucleotides) under Enterobacter roggenkampii. RNAcentral's name for it is "partial 23S ribosomal RNA". The record is from RNAcentral. Lineage: Bacteria; Pseudomonadati; Pseudomonadota; Gammaproteobacteria; Enterobacterales; Enterobacteriaceae.